CACCACACCGGACACAGCAACUCAGCUGGGCUCGUGACAUCGAUAUUUGGACCCUGGAGGACUGGCAACAUUUGGCGUAGUCCGAUGAGUCAUGGUUCCAGUUGUUCCUGACAUGAACCUAAUUGAGGAUUUAUGGGAUGUGGUGGAGAGGGCCAAUCACCCGUAAAAUAUACUGCACAUACAAAAUUAUAGGGAGCUGUGGGAAGCGAUCCAGAUGGCAUGGGCCUCCAGAGAUCUUCCGUCCACUUGUGGAAGCAAUGCCACAGAGUUGCAGCACUUCGUUGGGCUAGAGGGGAUCCUACAUGAUACUAGGCAAUUAUCCCAUGACUUUUGGAACUUCAGUGUACUGUAUGCUUCAAUAAAUGAUGCUUUUUUCUGUUUUGGGUCCACUGUGAAAUAGCAAAAUUGUGAAGAAAAAAAAUAGGAUUUUAAUUACCUACAGAUCCAGAGGGAAAUACAAAGUUCAUCAAAAGAUUUACGAUACCAUAUAUACAAUCACUUCAUGCAAACAUAAAUAAAGUCUGCUUAUCAAAGCAGACAGAAUGACCUUCAUGGUAGAAGAGACCAGGAAAGGGAUACAUAUAUAACCAUUUCCUAAAGGAAGGCUGUGUCAUUUUCAUGUGCAUAAGACUAGAUGUUAUCCAGAGCUUCAAAAAAGCCUGUCUACUUUCUGGUCAGUGAACUGCACAAUAAACUGGAUACCAGAGGAGCAGCAAACAGGACCGCACAUCUAAGGCAUAUAAGAUAUUCAGUACAGGAGCACGUGAGCAAUGCCAGAGUUGACAUGCAAUUAAUGAUUGCUGCUAUUGAUUGACAUUUUACUUACAUGCCACUUUAAUACAGCUCUGCAGCCAGUACAGUGUUGAAAUAUAUACUGUAUGUAUUAUGCAAGGGCCAUGUAUCUACUAUGCCUACUAAAUGGUGUACUACAAUUUGCCGGCUGUCGGAAAUCCCGACGCCCAGCAUACAGACGCCGGGAUCCCGACAGUCGGAAUGCAGGCAGCGGGGUGAGCGCAAAAGAGCCCCUUGUGGGCUCGCCGCGCUGUGGGCACAGUGGCGACACACUAUUUAUUCUCCCUCCAGGGGUGUUGUGGACACCCCAAGAGGGAGAAAAGUUGAGAUUCCGGCUGUCAGGAUCCCAAAACCGGUAUGCUGAGCGCCAGGAUCCCUGCAGCCGGUAUAACAAAUGCCACCCCUACUAAAUAAUGUCUGAAUAUAAUUGCGUUUAACAUGUUUAUUGAUUUGUAUUACCUCUUUAUGAUAUCAGUCACCAAUUAAAUAC
Long non-coding RNA from Pseudophryne corroboree (corroboree frog), 1282 nucleotides. RefSeq lists it as uncharacterized. Lineage: Eukaryota; Metazoa; Chordata; Amphibia; Anura; Myobatrachidae. The transcript has 4 exons. The record is from RefSeq and is a predicted model, not a curated record.